GAUUUAGGGUCUUCACGCUGCUUGGAUUUUGAAUAUAAACCUAACAGUAGCUUAGUUGGAAAUGCAAGUUGAUCUAGAGAACCCCUUGUGCUGGUCUACUCUGAGUCACACUCGGGGCCUGGGAUUGUUGUCCUGCAGCAGGGUGUGUGUUCCCUCCCUUCCCAACAGCCUGCAGUGUUGCCCACCUCCCAGGCACCCACCUCCAACUCACUUCUGAAGCAAAAUUUACUGAUAGUCACACUAAGGUGAAUUGAUAGAAUGAGUUCAAGGCAGGUUUUGCUGUCAAACUUAAAUUUCAGUAUGAAAAUUUUUUUUAAGUUUUCAGAACUUUUUGGUUUUGAAUGCAGAUAAAUGUGCUAAAUACAUAGAUGCUUUAUUCUAGCCAAUCAGGCUAUAAAAGUACAUUUCAGAACACUGGGGGUCCAUCUCUCCACAGAGAUCCACAAGUUUUCCUUUAUAGCACAAGAACAAAAGGGACCAUACUGUGGGGCCAUCAGGACACUAAACUCACCGUGCCAGGAUAGCAUAGAGUUUCUGUAAACCUCAUCAUUUGCCAAGUUGUAUAUUCAAGUUUCUUGAACUUGCUAUCUUACCUACUCCUGAUGUCUCUUUUUCUUUCAGUCACAGUACAAGAGUCACUUUGUUGCAGCCAGUUUAAGUAAUCAGAAGGCUGGAAGCUCUGCUGCUGGGGCAAGUGGGUGGACUAGUGCAGGGAGCUUGAAUUCUGUUCCAACUAACUCAGCACAACAGGGCCAUAACAGUCCUGACAGCCCCGUCACCAGUGCCACCAAGGGCAUCCCAGGCUUUGGCAAUACUGGCAACAUCAGUGGUGCCCCUGUGACCUACCCGUCUGCCGGAGCCCAAGGAGUCAACAACACAGCUUCAGGGAAUAACAGCCGAGAAGGGACUGGGGGCAGCAACGGGAAAAGAGAGAGAUAUACUGAGAACCGGGGCAGCAGCCGUCACAGUCACGGAGAGACUGGCAAUCGGCAUAGCGAUAGUCCACGUCACGGAGAUGGUGGUCGCCAUGGAGAUGGAUACCGCCAUCCAGAAAGCAGCAGCCGUCAUACUGAUGGCCAUCGGCACGGGGAGAACAGACAUGGAGGAAGCGCAGGCCGGCAUGGGGAGAACCGGGGUGCAAAUGAUGGUCGGAAUGGGGAAAGCAGGAAAGAAGCUUGUAAUCGUGAGAGCAAGAUGGAGCCCAAGAUGGAACCCAAAGUGGACAGCAGCAAGAUGGACAAGGUGGACAGCAAGACAGAUAAGACAGCUGACGGCUUUGCUGUCCCAGAGCCGCCUAAACGCAAGAAAAGUCGAUGGGACAGUUAGAGGGGAUGUGCUAAAGCGUGAAAUCAGUUGUCCUUAAUUUUUAGAAAGAUUUUGGUAACUAGGUGUCUCAGGGCUGGGUUGGGGUCCAAAGUGUAAGGACCCCCUGCCCUUAGUGGAGAGCUGGAGCUUGGAGACAUUACCCCUUCAUCAGAAGGAAUUUUCGGAUGUUUUCUUGGGAAGCUGUUUUGGUCCUUGGAAGCAGUGAGAGCUGGGAAGCUUCUUUUGGCUCUAGGUGAGUUGUCAUGAGGGUAAGUUGAGGUUAUCCUGGGAUAAAGGGCCUUCUAGGGCACAAAACUCACUCUAGGUUUAUAUUAUAUGUAGCUUAUAUUUUUUACUAAGGUGUCACCUUAUAAGCAUCUAUAAAUUGACUUCUUUUUCUUAGUUGUAUGGCCAGGCAGUCCCCAUUUUAGGAGUUGGCUUCUGCAAAUUCAAUCCAUUGAGCUAACUGUUGGGGAGCAAUUUGGUAGUUGUAGACAUUUGCAGGGAAGGGAGAUGUCUGAUUCUAAAUGGGAGUUGAUGCUCAGGUCCCCAGCCAGGUUUGCAUCCAGCCCUGAGACAUGUAGGAAACACCUUUCAGACCCAGGCUCUGAAGAUUCCCAGAAGCCACAAGGAUUGAAGGGAAAAGGUGAUCCUGGUAACUGUUCCAGGAUUGCUCCAGGUUUGAGAUGGUAUUGUUAAAUUUAAAAUUAAACAAGAAACCCAACAACAGCUUUUAAAGUGUCUUCUAUUUCAUUGUAUUUUUUUUAACUUGCCCCAAUGAUAGAAAAGUCUUUUGCUGAAAUGAUUUUGAUGAUUUUUGUUUAUCUUGUUUAUAAAAAGGAAAAGAAAUACACAAACUUUGACUUUUGUGACUUUGUGAAGGUUUCUUUAAGAUGUGCAUUCCUUUCUGCUUGCUCUCUAGUAAAUGUUUUACUACCGGG
Molecule: small RNA, 2246 nt
Filed under: Pan troglodytes (chimpanzee)
Lineage: Eukaryota; Metazoa; Chordata; Mammalia; Primates; Hominidae
Description: retained intron
Source: RNAcentral